This 253-nucleotide ribosomal RNA is filed under the name uncultured bacterium. Its description in RNAcentral is "partial 16S ribosomal RNA". It matches the Rfam family "Bacterial small subunit ribosomal RNA", at positions 524 to 776 of the family's 1533-position model. The record is from RNAcentral.
UACGGAGGGAGCUAGCGUUGUUCGGAAUUACUGGGCGUAAAGCGCACGUAGGCGGCUUUGUAAGUUAGAGGUGAAAGCCCGGAGCUCAACUCCGGAACUGCCCUUAAGACUGCAUCGCUUGAAUCCAGGAGAGGUGAGUGGAAUUCCGAGUGUAGAGGUGAAAUUCGUAGAUAUUCGGAAGAACACCAGUGGCGAAGGCGGCUCACUGGACUGGUAUUGACGCUGAGGUGCGAAAGCGUGGGGAGCAAACAGG